Molecule: unclassified non-coding RNA, 352 nt
Filed under: soil metagenome
Description: partial contains 5.8S ribosomal RNA, internal transcribed spacer 2, and large subunit ribosomal RNA
Rfam family: 5.8S ribosomal RNA (bases 1-120)
Source: RNAcentral
GAUGAAGAACGUAGCGAAAUGCGAUAAGUAAUGUGAAUUGCAGAAUUCAGUGAAUCAUCGAAUCUUUGAUCGCACAUUGCGCCCGCCAGCACUCUGGCGGGCAUGCCUGUCCGAGCGUCAUUUCAACCCUCGCGCCGUCCCUCCAGGGGGCUCGGCGCGGUGUUGGGGGACACGGCCCCGGCCGCCCCCGAAAUGCAGUGGCGACCCCGCCGCGGCCCCUCCAGCGCAGUAAGUACGCUCGCUACGGGAGGCCCGGUGGACGCGUCCGCCGUAAAACGCCCAACUCUUCAGAAGUUGACCUCGGAUCAGGUAGGGAUACCCGCUGAACUUAAGCAUAUCAAUAAGCGGAGGA